Molecule: long non-coding RNA, 2643 nt
Organism: Dasypus novemcinctus (nine-banded armadillo)
Lineage: Eukaryota; Metazoa; Chordata; Mammalia; Cingulata; Dasypodidae
Source: Ensembl
CUCAGGUGCUCGUCAGCAGCCCCCUCCCCACCACGCCUGCUCCUUCCCGCUCCCCCCCCCAGCCCCCCAGCCUCCUGCUGGUCCCUGCUCAGGCUGUUUCCACAGCGCCCUUGGCCCUCCCCCCCACGCCUGCUCCUUCCCGCUCCCCCCCAGCCCCCCAGCCUCCUGCUGGUCCCUGCUCAGGCUGUUCCCACAGCGCCCUUGGCCCUCCCCCCCACGCCUGCUCCUUCCCGCUCCCCCCCAGCCCCCCAGCCUCCUGCUGGUCCCUGCUCAGGCUGUCCCCCCAGCGCCCUUGGCCCUCGGCCGCUUCCCUGAACCUCCCCCCGCUCCCGCCUUGGCCGUGUGCGCCGCCCUGAGGACUUGGCUUCCUGCGGCUCGGGUCAGCCAGCCUCCUCCUCGAAGCUCCUUCCAGCCGCACCUCCUCUCCCAGACCCCCGCUCUGAGGAGCCGCACGCCCCGGCCCGCUCGGCCCCAGGCCGCAGCCCCAGCCCGUGUCUGCCCGGCCCCCGCCGCCUGUCCAGCUUUCCCUCCCGCCUCGUGGGGACAUCUCCAGCCGCACACCUCCUGCCACGGGCUCCUGUGGCCCUCGGUCGGCAUCAUCAGCACGCGCGCCGCCCACUGCCAGCCCGCCCGCGACGCUCUCGCCCCUCGUUUUGCGGCGGCUCUCCCAGAAGGCCCUUCCUCCGGUCAGACAUAAGAUCUACGUGGAUUUGUGGGAAUCGGGGUACAAUCACCGGUCAGCCUCCAGGGACAACACACUUUCAAAGGGCCUCUUCAGGCAAGGACAAGGAGAAGGACAGUCAGAAGCUCUUAGAGGGACGACCAGGGCUGCGGGCGCUACUGGAACAGAGAGGGACCCCUGGAGCAUAGAGCCAGGCCAGCCAAGGACUUCCCAGCUCACAGUGUCCGUCCCGGGGCUUUGGAAUUCCUGAGCGGGGGACGGCUGUCUCCCGUCCUUCCUCUGAACGAGAGGUCUUGUUAUCACUCUCAGACCAACCACUGGAUACUGGACUGGUGGCAGGUGACAAACCACGGGCCCCCUCUGGCCACAGGUCCAGCAGGGCGUAGGCACCUGCAGAGGGGAGACACGCUCACGCCUGGCAUCGAAUCAGAGCACCCAGGCGAGUGCUUCUUGAGUUUAUUCAUAUUUGGGAGGUGCAGCUGUCCUGGCUAGACCAUGACACACAUUUCCUGUGAGCAUUGCAGAAUUCCAACGCUGACAACCUGCCAUCUGGUUUCAGCACAGUCUCUUAAGGGUGUGAAUCUUUUUUUAAGCUCUGAAAACCAUUUCAACAUCAGCCUGAUUGCCCAAAUAAGGCAAAUUAUGUUUUUUUUCUUUUUCCAAAUUAUAACCUAUUGAGAAUCUACUGUGUGUGGUUCUGUGCUGCAUUCUGUGGGUAAUUAAAAUGCCCAUGUGUGGCAAUUAUGCUGCAGCGCUCGCCAUCAAGGGCUACAGCCCGUCAUGAAGCAGAUGCAUGCAACGCUCAUGCAAAGCAUCAUGAAGUCAUUUUUAGUCUGAAAAACUAAACUGUAACAUAACAACUGAAGGAAAAAAUCCAGGGCGCUGAAGCCUGACAGAAAUCUAUAGGUCAUUUAUGGGCAUCUCCUCAGGAAUUUUAACCUCUUCUCAAGAGAACUUUUGUAAGAUCUACAGAUCACAAAUUCAGCUCUGGAGUUUCUCCAGCUUUCUUCCUCUUGGUCUUUAUGUAACCACAAAAUGAAUAAUGUGCUGAUUUAAAUUCCGAUAAAUGAAAAAGGAAGAAUACAUAUGAGUGUUUACAUCACAAAUUGAAAAUCACUCUUUGAAUUCUAGUUGACUCUUCUAAAAACUAUUUUCAUGGAGGCUACUAUUUAAUAGUUUAAUGAUUGCAAAAGAUUUCUUGAAAAAUAAAGAUGUUAUUUGAAGUGUUUUCCACAAAGGUAAAUAUAUUUUUCAUGAUUUUUCUUGAUAUUUGUUUAAAUAUAUCAACCACCUACAGUAGGAUGUAAGUGGCAUCCUUGUGCUACCUGGAUUGGUGAUUCUGAAAUCAACUUUGAUAAACAGUGACAUAAGGGGUAUUUUUAUAGUUUAUGACAGAUGGGAAAAGGAUUCACAAAGAUGAGUGGUGCUUUGGCAUAACUAACAAAAUGUGUCAAAGGUGUUUGGUUUGUUUGAAUAAAGUGAAAAUUAUUUAAAGUUAUGGUCAUAUAUACAUGGUAGAGGGAUUUGCUAAAUAAGUUCACUUCAAAAAUUCUCAUGCUGGCUGGUGGUGCAGCCAUCUGCCCCAGCCGAGAAGUGAGAACCCAGAGGUUCUGAGCAGACACAGCCUGCGAAGUGCAGUGAGGCUGGUCCACGAAAACACACCUAAGGUGGAAACUUCAUUCCAAAUAAAGACAGAAAAAAUCUCUUUCAUAAUUGAUUAUGCAACAAACUUUAAAACGACAGCCUGGGAAAGAAGCUCUUUCGUGAUGUUCACUUCUGCAGUGCUCUGUGAAGCCCUGGACACGUCCUUUGCUCUGGUAUAAAUGGACCCACCGGGGACAGAGGGCAUGGCUGCUUCUCUGAGACAGACUACAUUUCCACACGGCCCUUUGGGCCACUUCUCCCUCCAUUUCCCUGUUUUUCUAGAGGUGACGGAUGCCGGUGUUUGUUUCAGAUGAGCC